GAGUUUGAUCGUGGCUCAGAUUGAACGCUGGCGGCAUGCCUUACACACGCAAGUCGAACGGUAACAGGUCUUCGGAUGCUGACGAGUGGCGAACGGGUGAGUAAUACAUCGGAACGUGCCCGAUCGUGGGGGAUAACGGAGCGAAAGCUUUGCUAAUACCGCAUACGAUCUACGGAUGAAAGCAGGGGACCGCAAGGCCUUGCGCGGACGGAGCGGCCGAUGGCAGAUUAGGUAGUUGGUGGGAUAAAAGCUUACCAAGCCGACGAUCUGUAGCUGGUCUGAGAGGACGACCAGCCACACUGGGACUGAGACACGGCCCAGACUCCUACGGGAGGCAGCAGUGGGGAAUUUUGGACAAUGGGCGAAAGCCUGAUCCAGCCAUGCCGCGUGCAGGAUGAAGGCCUUCGGGUUGUAAC
This 416-nucleotide ribosomal RNA is filed under the name uncultured microorganism. RNAcentral describes it as "bacterial SSU rRNA". It matches the Rfam family "Bacterial small subunit ribosomal RNA", at positions 9 to 429 of the family's 1533-position model. The record is from RNAcentral.